Molecule: long non-coding RNA, 577 nt
Organism: Engraulis encrasicolus (European anchovy)
Lineage: Eukaryota; Metazoa; Chordata; Actinopteri; Clupeiformes; Engraulidae
Exons: 4
Source: RefSeq, a predicted model, not a curated record
CUAUCUACAUGUCUGUCAGAGGUUAUCAUUUUAAUUGGACAGACUAAUCUGGCCAAAACCGGUCUAUAACCAAACAAUAUUAGUAGUGAUGGACACCCCGUCGCCCGAUUGGCAUUACAUUACCGACAAACCGACGGUCGAAGGCAGCAUCUCCGGGAUCUUUUACCUGAAAUCCCAAACAACUUCCGGGCCCAUGCCGGGAUACAGGCCCGAAUAACCCUACAACGAAAUCCUUGAUCCACGACGAUUACCGAAAUCAUCGAUUUCUUGUCAAAGUUGUUGCCAGGGUCCAGGGAUUGUCUACCCAAAAACAUACAGCUGACUUGACCAGCAAAUGAAGCUGCUCCCACAGAGCGUCCAAUGAGCAAAAGAACAGCAGCUGAGGAGGUCAUCAUCAUCUUUUAUGCCGUGGCCUCCUUCUGCGGUGAAGAAUUUCAUAGGCAUCCUGGAUCUUUAUAAACAUCUGCUGGGCCUCCACUGGCUGGCCUCCUCGCUGUACCCUAUUCCCCCCGUCACCACGCUAAACAGUCUGUACGGCAACAGCAGGAGGUACUCAAACACCCCCCUGAGCCACGGG